Molecule: transfer RNA, 74 nt
Filed under: Pirellula sp.
Lineage: Bacteria; Pseudomonadati; Planctomycetota; Planctomycetia; Pirellulales; Pirellulaceae
Also listed under: 1 other name
Description: tRNA-His
Rfam family: tRNA
About the family: Transfer RNA (tRNA) molecules are approximately 80 nucleotides in length. Their secondary structure includes four short double-helical elements and three loops (D, anti-codon, and T loops). Further hydrogen bonds mediate the characteristic L-shaped molecular structure. tRNAs have two regions of fundamental functional importance: the anti-codon, which is responsible for specific mRNA codon recognition, and the 3' end, to which the tRNAs corresponding amino acid is attached (by aminoacyl-tRNA synthetases). tRNAs cope with the degeneracy of the genetic code in two manners: having more than one tRNA (with a specific anti-codon) for a particular amino acid; and 'wobble' base-pairing, i.e. permitting non-standard base-pairing at the 3rd anti-codon position.
Source: RNAcentral
GUGGUAGUAGCUCAGUUGGUUAGAGCGGCGGAUUGUGGUUCCGCAGGUCGGGGGUUCGAGCCCCCUCUAUCACC